RNAcentral lists this ribosomal RNA (540 nucleotides) under Tulasnella albida. RNAcentral's name for it is "LSU rRNA". It matches the Rfam family "Bacterial large subunit ribosomal RNA", at positions 1707 to 2091 of the family's 2925-position model. Lineage: Eukaryota; Fungi; Basidiomycota; Agaricomycetes; Cantharellales; Tulasnellaceae. The record is from RNAcentral.
AAGGAACUCGGCAAAUUGUCUUCAUAAGUUAGACGAUAUGAAGAACCAUAUAAUAUUAAGGUUUAUACUAAUUAUACCAGCUAGCCUUGUGCUUUCAGGUCUUAACAGUAUAUACUAACUAUUUUUUAUCUACAUUCAUUAAUUAACUUUAUUUUAUAUGCUUAACGGCGAUAAGGUAUUGUUUAAGAUAUGGAUUAAGGUAUGAUUUGGAAAUUAAUAUUAUGUGGUGUCACAAAAUCGGAGGCCCCGACUGUUUACUUAAAACACAGCUUUCUGCUACGAAUAAUAUCUGUGUAUAGAAAGCGAAUUUUGCCCAAUGCCAUUAAUAUAAAGUUGAUAAGCGCAUAGCGUAUUUAUUAGCUGAAGUUCUGGUCAAUGGCGGUCUUAUCUAUGAGGAUCCUAAGGUAGCAAAAUUAAUUGUCCAUUAAAUGUGGUCCUGACUGAAUAAAGUAACGAUGGUCUCACUGUCUCUACAAGUAUCUCAGUGAAAUUGAAUUAGCCGUGCAGAUGCGGUUUAACUUCGGGUAGACGGGAAGACCC